UUUGAAUCUAAAUGCAGUUUUGACAAAUCAUACAAUAUUUUUAUAAUAUAUAACAAGGGUACUUGUUUUUCAUUUCUCUGAUCUGGAAUGUAAACAGGACAAUUUAGGACUAUNUAUCUAAGGUACAUGCAUAAAAUGGUUUAAAAAUUUCUAACUAAUAGACUAAAGAUCUUUAAAAAAAUAUAUUUACAAAACAGAAAAGAAUUCCAGUAAGAAAGAAAAACAUACCNGUUUCUAUUACAAAAAAUCACACGAAAAAAAUGAUCUCAUUUUACAUNAAAAUAAAUCAUUCACAUUCACAUAAUANAUUCUUAUUAGAGUAAAUAUCAACAUUAAAAUAAAUCAUUCACAUUCAUAUAUUACAUUCUAACGAGUAAAUAUUUAUUUUGCGAUCAGAGUAAAUAUUCACAUAAUCCAAAUCACGAGAAAAAAUAAUCUCAAUUUACUGUGGANAGUCCAUAGAAAAGAACAAAAUGUAGAAAGGAAAAUACAUUUAUUUUUAAAAUAACUAUGAAUUUCAAACAGGAAUAACUACUAAAGCAAUAAUCAUUCAUAAUAAUUAUAUAAGAAUUAAAGGACCAUGUUAACAAAUAUCUAAUUCAAUACAAGAAUAAAACUGAAUUAAAUAUACAUCCAUAUUCCUAGAAAAUAUCUGACAAUCACAUCCAUAAUUGGAAAUAGACCGUUGAUACUUGGACAUAUCCUAAUCCAAAAUACCUCCAAAGACUCUGACCUAAGUAGUCAAAACAACAAAGAGGGAAAAAUAUAGCUACUCUAUAACAAGAGUAUAUCAACACAAUNUACAUAAUCCAAAUGACAACUAAGUAAGAAGUGGAACGACAUAGAAGAAAUUAAGUUUUCAUUAGCUGCUUCUUUUUCAAGUUGAACUGCCAGCUUCAUGCCCAUAGUAGGCUUAAACAAACCCCACUAAAAAAGGAAUGUUGUUAACAAAUGAUACCAAGUUAAAACUGGAUAUACUGGUAGAUCAUAUAGGUAACUUCAGAGUUUCAACACCAGAAACUAAAGCCAUAAAUUUGAAACAAUUCCUGGUACAGAAACAAUAAGAAAAUCAGAUACUGCAAGCCCAAGAUGAUCUCAUAAAACCAAGGUAGGCCUAAAUAAGUUAAGAUCGGUCCAUCACAUGCUAUCAUAAGCCCUUCUAAACUCUUCCAUGAUUACAACAACCUCGCGUGUGCUCAAAAGGGAUUGCUAGGANNNNNN
RNAcentral lists this long non-coding RNA (1221 nucleotides) under Vigna radiata. Its description in RNAcentral is "long non-coding RNA (VRAD_LNC007453)". The record is from RNAcentral. Lineage: Eukaryota; Viridiplantae; Streptophyta; Magnoliopsida; Fabales; Fabaceae.